GAUGAACGCUAGCGGCAGGCCUAACACAUGCAAGUCGAGGGAGAGGUUACCUUCGGGUAACCAAAACCGGCGCACGGGUGCGUAACGCGUAUACAAUCUGCCUUUCACAUAGGGAUAGCCCGAAGAAAUUUGGAUUAAUACCUAAUGGUAUAUAAGAGCGGCAUCGUUUUUAUAUUAAAGCUACGGCGGUGAAAGAUGAGUAUGCGUUCUAUUAGCUAGUUGGAGAGGUAACGGCUCCCCAAGGCGACGAUAGAUAGGGGUUCUGAGAGGGAUGUCCCCCACACUGGUACUGAGAUACGGACCAGACUCCUACGGGAGGCAGCAGUGAGGAAUAUUGGACAAUGGUCGGAAGACUGAUCCAGCCAUGCCGCGUGCAGGAUGAAGGUCCUAUGGAUUGUAAACUGCUUUUGUAAGGGAAGAAUAAGGAGUACGUGUACUUUGAUGACGGUACCUUACGAAUAAGCAUCGGCUAACUCCGUGCCAGCAGCCGCGGUAAUACGGAGGAUGCGAGCGUUAUCCGGAAUCAUUGGGUUUAAAGGGUCCGUAGGCGGGCUGAUAAGUCAGAGGUGAAAGCGCUUAGCUCAACUAAGCAACUGCCUUUGAAACUGUCAGUCUUGAAUGAUUGUGAAGUAGUUGGAAUGUGUAGUGUAGCGGUGAAAUGCUUAGAUAUUACACAGAACACCGAUAGCGAAGGCAUAUUACUAACAAUUUAUUGACGCUGAUGGACGAAAGCGUGGGGAGCGAACAGG
This 749-nucleotide ribosomal RNA is filed under the name uncultured Capnocytophaga sp. RNAcentral describes it as "bacterial SSU rRNA". It matches the Rfam family "Bacterial small subunit ribosomal RNA", at positions 28 to 776 of the family's 1533-position model. Lineage: Bacteria; Pseudomonadati; Bacteroidota; Flavobacteriia; Flavobacteriales; Flavobacteriaceae. The record is from RNAcentral.